This 717-nucleotide ribosomal RNA is filed under the name uncultured bacterium. RNAcentral describes it as "bacterial SSU rRNA". It matches the Rfam family "Bacterial small subunit ribosomal RNA", at positions 48 to 761 of the family's 1533-position model. The record is from RNAcentral.
CUUACCAUGCAAGUCGAACGGCAGCACGGGAGCAAUCCUGGUGGCGAGUGGCGAACGGGUGAGUAAUAUAUCGGAACGUGCCCAGUAAUGGGGGAUAGCCCGGCGAAAGCCGGAUUAAUACCGCAUACGACCUACGGGUGAAAGCGGGGGAUCGCAAGACCUCGCGUUAUUGGAGCGGCCGAUAUCAAAUUAGCUUGUUGGCGGGGUAAAAGCCCACCAAGGCGACGAUCUGUAGCUGGUCUGAGAGGACGACCAGCCACACUGGGACUGAGACACGGCCCAGACUCCUACGGGAGGCAGCAGUGGGGAAUUUUGGACAAUGGGCGCAAGCCUGAUCCAGCCAUGCCGCGUGUGGGAAGAAGGCCUUCGGGUUGUAAACCACUUUUGUCAGGGAAGAAACGGUUCUUACUAAUAUUAGGAGCUAAUGACGGUACCUGAAGAAUAAGCACCGGCUAACUACGUGCCAGCAGCCGCGGUAAUACGUAGGGUGCAAGCGUUAAUCGGAAUUACUGGGCGUAAAGCGUGCGCAGGCGGCUUUGCAAGACAGAUGUGAAAUCCCCGGGCUCAACCUGGGAACUGCAUUUGUGACUGCAUGGCUAGAGUACGGUAGAGGGGGAUGGAAUUCCGCGUGUAGCAGUGAAAUGCGUAGAUAUGCGGAGGAACACCGAUGGCGAAGGCAAUCCCCUGGACCUGUACUGACGCUCAUGCACGAAAGCG